RNAcentral lists this ribosomal RNA (497 nucleotides) under uncultured bacterium. RNAcentral describes it as "partial 16S ribosomal RNA". It matches the Rfam family "Bacterial small subunit ribosomal RNA", at positions 28 to 507 of the family's 1533-position model. The record is from RNAcentral.
GAUGAACGCUGGCGGCGUGCCUAAUACAUGCAAGUCGAGCGAACGGACGAGAAGCUUGCUUCUCUGAUGUUAGCGGCGGACGGGUGAGUAACACGUGGAUAACCUACUUAUAAGACUGGGAUAACUUCGGGAAACCGGAGCUAAUACCGGAUAAUAUUUUGAACCGCUUGGUUCAAAAGUGAAAGACGGUCUUGCUGUCACUUAUAGAUGGAUCCGCGCUGCAUUAGCUAGUUGGUAAGGUAACGGCUUACCAAGGCAACGAUGCAUAGCCGACCUGAGAGGGUGAUCGGCCGCACUGGAACUGAGACACGGUCCAGACUCCUACGGGAGGCAGCAGUAGGGAAUCUUGCGCAAUGGGCGAAAGCCUGACGGAGCAACGCCGCGUGAGUGAUGAAGGUCUUCGGAUCGUAAAACUCUGUUAUUAGGGAAGAACAUAUGUGUAAGUAACUGUGCACAUCUUGACGGUACCUAAUCAGAAAGCAACGGCUAACUACGUG